RNAcentral lists this ribosomal RNA (318 nucleotides) under Triticum aestivum (bread wheat). RNAcentral's name for it is "partial small subunit ribosomal RNA". Lineage: Eukaryota; Viridiplantae; Streptophyta; Magnoliopsida; Poales; Poaceae. The record is from RNAcentral.
AUGGAAGCGGGCGGCAGUAACCCUAGUAAAAAGAUUUCACAUAGCGAGGAGGUUGAGGAGUUGCUCGGCAGAUUGGCUCUCCAUGAAGAUCAGGGCGGCGAUUUCGUAUGGGAGGAGGAGGAGAAUCUGCCAGAUAUUCAAGCUAUGUGGUUAGCAAUUGAGAGGGUACACACAGACAAGGGAUUCAGUUCGUCGGCUUUGUACGCGGACAUGAGGUCUGCUUGGAAUCCCGCAAAGGGUGUGCAGUGGCGUAUGAUUGACACCAAUUUGUUCACAGUGCAGUUUGCAUGUCUUGGUGAUUGGUGUUGGGGAACGUAG